AAUGGGCAGGGAAGGGAUUCAAAAAAUUGCGUGUGAAAAAGAAAAGGAAAAAGUAGGAAAAUACAGGUAUGUCCCCGUUGCCGUGAAAGAAAGGGAAAAUCACCUGCACUGCCCCUGCGAGUGAGUUUAAUAAGGCGGUUUCAUUGCCGAAACGACCGCCAUCAUGGAUCGGUAUCAGAGGGUGGAGAAGCCGAGAGCGGAGACGCCAAUGAACGAGAACGAGAUUCGCAUCACCACUCAGGGCAGGAUGAGGAACUACAUUACCUAUGCCACCACUCUGCUCCAGGAAAAAGGAUCUAAUGAAAUUUCUCUGAAAGCCAUGGGCAGAGCCAUCAACAAAACUGUGAUGAUUGCUGAAUUGAUUAAGCGAAGAAUCGCUGGUCUUCAUCAGAAUACUGCAAUUGGUUCUACUGAUAUAACUGAUGUGUGGGAGCCGCUAGAAGAGGGACUUCUUCCCCUGGAAACUACUCGCCAUGUAUCAAUUAUAACAAUUACUUUGUCCAAGAAGGAACUAGAUACAUCCUCCACAGGGUACCAACCACCUAUUCCGGCUGAUCAAGUUAGGCCCUGGACUGAAUAUGAGUAUGAAGGAGAGGGCUCUCCUAGCAUGCGUGGUAGAGGACGUGGUGGUCGAGGAAGGGGCAGAGGAAGAGGGAAUUUUAACAAUGGAGUUGUGGAGUAUAAUGGAGAUGGUGGCUUUGAUGGUGGGCGGGGGUAUGGAGGUAGAGGACGAGGCCAUGGAAGAAGUCGUGGCUAUCGUGGGCGUGGAAGGGGCUAUGGCGGUGGGAUUUUUCAACAGGAUUUUGGUGGUUAUAAUAACUAUGGGAAUAACUAUGGAGGUGGGCCAGCCCCUGCACAAGGCCGCGGGGUUUAAGGGAAGGGAGAAGCCUAGUGUUGGUAAAAGCUUUAUGUGCAUAGACCUUUUGAAGCCUAGGCACAAAGCGGCGUGGAAGAGGCAGGGGAAGAGGCCGUGGACGUGGUCGGGGUUUCAGAUCAGAUGGUCCUGUGCAGGCUGCUGCCUGAGUGCUAGACAAGGUAUAAAAUCUUGGUUGCUGAAAGUUCUGAAUGCCUGCUCUCUUAUUCUAGGGAAAAGAAAGAAAAAGGAAGAAGUAUUGGAUUUCACUAAUGAAUUUCUAGGCAUAUUAGUUAUAGUGAGCUACUGCACGUUGUGUGGUGGCCUUGUUUUUGUAGUUUGAAGGUAGGCUAAUUCUUAUUUGAUUGCUGACAACACUUCAAAGUUUUACACCUUUCUCUUUUAGGUAAUAAUAGGGCAGCACAUUCUUUCAUUUCUUUCGCAAAGGAGCAGAAGUUUUUACUAUAUUGUUAGGGUUUGGUGUUUUGUGUCAUGAGCUCUUCUUUGGAUCUUGGUUUUAUGAGAUAGAAAACUGUAUGCCUACUUUAGAUUUUAUGAGUACGAAAGCAUGGCACAGUCCUAUAGGUUGUAGGCUUGA
RNA transcript from Quercus robur (English oak), 1451 nucleotides. RefSeq lists it as uncharacterized. The record is from RefSeq and is a predicted model, not a curated record. The transcript has 10 exons. NCBI's taxonomy places the organism in Eukaryota, Viridiplantae, Streptophyta, Magnoliopsida, Fagales, Fagaceae.